UACGUAGGGUGCAAGCGUUGUCCGGAAUUAUUGGGCGUAAAGAGCUCGUAGGCGGUCUGUCGCGUCGGCUGUGAAAACCCGGAGCUCAACUCCGGGCCUGCAGUCGAUACGGGCAAACUGGAGUACUGCAGGGGAGACUGGAAUUCCUGGUGUAGCGGUGAAAUGCGCAGAUAUCAGGAGGAACACCGGUGGCGAAGGCGGGUCUCUGGGCAGUAACUGACGCUGGAGGAGCGAAAAGCGUGGGGAGCGAACAGG
Molecule: ribosomal RNA, 255 nt
Filed under: uncultured bacterium
Lineage: Bacteria
Description: partial 16S ribosomal RNA
Rfam family: Bacterial small subunit ribosomal RNA
Source: RNAcentral